This 520-nucleotide unclassified non-coding RNA is filed under the name uncultured Entrophospora. Its description in RNAcentral is "SSU rRNA". It matches the Rfam family "Eukaryotic small subunit ribosomal RNA", at positions 569 to 1079 of the family's 1831-position model. The record is from RNAcentral. Lineage: Eukaryota; Fungi; Glomeromycota; Glomeromycetes; Entrophosporales; Entrophosporaceae.
AGCAGCCGCGGUAAUUCCAGCUCCAAUAGCGUAUAUUAAAGUUGUUGCAGUUAAAAAGCUCGUAGUUGAAUUUCGGGAUUGACGUGAUGGUCGUGCCUUACGGGGUAUGAACUGUUGCUGUUGAUUUCUCACCUUCUGGAGAAACUUGAUGUCCUUAAUUGGGUGUCUUGCGGAUCCAGGACCUUUACCUUGAAAAAAUUUAGAGUGUUUAAAGCAGGCAUUUUUGCUCGAAUACAUUAGCAUGGAAUAAUAGAAUAGGACGGCAUGGUUCUAUUUUGUUGGUUUCUAGGAUCACCGUAAUGAUUAAUAGGGAUAGUUGGGGGGCAUUAGUAUUCAAUUGUCAGAGGUGAAAUUCUUGGAUUUAUUGAAGACUAACUACUGCGAAAGCAUUUGCCAAGGAUGUUUUCAUUAAUCAAGAACGAAAGUUAGGGGAUCGAAGACGAUCAGAUACCGUCGUAGUCUUAACCAUAAACUAUGCCGACUAGGAAUCAGACGAUGUUAAUUUUUUUAAAUGACUCGU